UAAGGGAUAUUGCACAAUGGGGGAAACCCUGAUGCAGCAACGCCGCGUGGGUGAAGAAGGCUUUCGAGUCGUAAAACCCUUUUCUAGGGGAAGAGGAAGGACAGUACCCUAGGAACAAGUCUCGGCUAACUACGUGCCAGCAGCCGCGGUAAGACGUAGGAGGCGAGCGUUAUCCGGAUUCAUUGGGCGUAAAGGGCAAGUAGGCGGUUGUCAAAGUUGGGCGUGACAUCUCCUGGCUCAACUAGGAGAGGUCGUUCAAAACUAGGCAACUAGAGGGCAGAAGAGGAAAGCGGAACUCCUGAUGUAGCGGUGGAAUGCUCAGAUAUCAGGAAGAACACCAGUGGCGAAGGCGGCUUUCUGGUCUGCACCUGACGCUGAGAGGCGAAGGCCAGGGUAGCGAACGGG
Molecule: ribosomal RNA, 405 nt
Filed under: uncultured bacterium
Lineage: Bacteria
Also listed under: 2 other names
Description: bacterial SSU rRNA
Rfam family: Bacterial small subunit ribosomal RNA
Source: RNAcentral